This is a long non-coding RNA of Saccostrea cuccullata (small rock oyster), 647 nucleotides long. RefSeq lists it as uncharacterized. The record is from RefSeq and is a predicted model, not a curated record. Lineage: Eukaryota; Metazoa; Mollusca; Bivalvia; Ostreida; Ostreidae. The transcript is spliced from 4 exons.
GUCCAAACAAUAGCAAAUAAGGAAAGUUUAUAGAUAAAAGGCACAUUGUAAAGCCCCAUAGAACAAUAUCAGACUAUCAGUAAGAGAAGCAAAGAAAGAACACCCAAAACAAAGGAAGAGUAAUGCAGAAUCGGAUAUGAAGAUAUGAAGUGAGAUCUAGAAUCGUCAAGAAGUGGAAACACCGGGGAGAAGAUAGAGGGCGGAAGUAAAAUUCUGUUUAUUCUCCAUGGGAUCAAAUGCCUAAGUAACAAAGAAAGUUGAAAGUUAUUUCAAGAUAUAUGUAAAAUUUUACUGUUUUCAAAAGUAGGUUCAAAAUUCUAUUUUUGCAUGCCAUGAAGGAAGGAUUUUGAUCAAGGAUUUUCAAGAGGAUGUUCCUUCCUCCAUCACACUAAUUUUAAACAGGGUCGAAACUAGGAAGAAGUCGAUCCAUGUCUUUUAAUAUAGUUUAGAAAGUUACCGUGAAUGGCAGCUUCAACAACUGGAUAACAUGUUCAAAAUUCUUCUCAACUGGGAUUCAAGAUAACGAUUUACUAAUGAAAACCAGCAUUAUAUCAAACGGUGCAAUGACAAGGAAGAAGACCGAGGAGAUUAUAGUGUUUAUAUGCCUUGCUGUCUGCGGCAUAUCACAUGCAGUUGAAAAUCUGGAG